Molecule: long non-coding RNA, 341 nt
Organism: Hipposideros armiger (great roundleaf bat)
Lineage: Eukaryota; Metazoa; Chordata; Mammalia; Chiroptera; Hipposideridae
Exons: 3
Source: RefSeq, a predicted model, not a curated record
GGAAGAGAUGCUGGGUGGGGAGAGUUAGGGAUCAGGGAGGAGCUCUGAGCCAACACUGGAACACCCUUGGGACGCUCUCACCUUGUAGACACCGGGUCUGUCGGACCUCCUGAAAGCUUCUAGAGUUCGCUGACAUUCCUCAGGCCAUGACUUCCUUCCAUCUUCAAAGCCAGCUCUGGCUAGGAUCACCAGCUCUGAGGACAAUGGAAGCUGGGAGGUGCCUCUGGCCACCUCUGUCACCACUAAGAAAAGCCUGCCUGGAGUGGUAGCCGGUGCAUAGAUGAGCAAGGACAUGAAAUGCAGAGAAACAGACGGAGGAAUAGGCCCCCCCGCACCCAGCC